This 112-nucleotide ribosomal RNA is filed under the name Caerostris darwini. The record is from RNAcentral. Lineage: Eukaryota; Metazoa; Arthropoda; Arachnida; Araneae; Araneidae.
AACGGCCGUACCAUGCUGAAUAUAUCGGUUCUCGUUAGAUCACCGAAGUCAAGCAUCAUUGGGCGCGGUCAGUACUUGGGUGGGUGACCACCUGGGAAUACUGCGUGCCGUU